Molecule: ribosomal RNA, 326 nt
Filed under: uncultured eukaryote
Lineage: Eukaryota
Description: partial 18S ribosomal RNA
Rfam family: Eukaryotic small subunit ribosomal RNA
Source: RNAcentral
CCCUUAGAUGUUCUGGGCCGCACGCGCGCUACACUGAUGCAUUCAACAAGCCUAGCCUUGACCGAGGGGUCCGGGUAAUCUUUGAAACUGCAUCGUGAUGGGGCUAGAUUAUUGCAAUUAUUAAUCUUCAACGAGGAAUGCCUAGUAAGCGUGAUUCAUCAAAUCGCGUUGAUUACGUCCCUGCCCUUUGUACACACCGCCCGUCGCUCCUACCGAUUGAAUGUGUUGGUGAGGAGCUCGGAUUGGCAGCAGUUGGUGGUUCGCCACCGGCUAUUGCUGAGAAGUCCUCCAAACCGCCCCAUUUAGAGGAAGGAGAAGUCGUANCA